Molecule: transfer RNA, 69 nt
Filed under: Aristobia reticulator
Lineage: Eukaryota; Metazoa; Arthropoda; Insecta; Coleoptera; Cerambycidae
Description: tRNA-Ser
Source: RNAcentral
AGUUAAUGAGCUUGUAAUAAGCUUAUAUUUUGAAAAUAUAAGAAAGAGAUUAUAAUUCUCUAUUAACUU